GUUGCCACUAUUUUUAUUAUUUGAUAAAACGGUUCAUUACGAUUAUAUUACACCAUAAAAAAAAUAUGAAUUUUUUUCGAAGUACCUAUCCUAAUAUAUUUUAAAUUUUAAAUUAUAUUUUAUCUAUACAGCCAUAAACGCCGUCCGCCAUGAUGGUCUAUUAAUUAUCUGUGCCGUGACGUCACUAUUCUUGUAAACAAUACGCGUGAAUAACAUAACCUUUUUAUCGGAAUUUAAAACCAUGGCUUCGAAAGGAUUACAUGAUAAAUAUAGUAAUUACCACUAUUGUAUCGUGCGGGAAUGUCAGAAUACAUCAAUAAAGAACCUAGAGAAGUUGUGGAUUAAAGUACCCAGUGAUGAGAAUAUGCGGAACUCCUGGUUACAACUAGCUAAAAGAGAUCCCGUAACUCUGUCCAGUUGAACUGCAGUGUAUUUCUGUGAAGAUCACUUUAAUAAUUGCCUAAGGAGGAUGCUGUACCAUUCUUCUGUUGAGGAUAAGAUUUGUGACAAAAUAAUGCAAGCAGAACAAUGUAAUCCUCACUUCAGAGAUAAGGCAGUGCAAGCUGAGCCAGAACAUGCAUCAUGCCAAGUAGUUUCAAAUUAUGAUCACAAGGUCACUCAAGUAUCAAUAAUGAAACACUAUAGAAGUAAGAAGGU
Molecule: long non-coding RNA, 657 nt
Organism: Ostrinia nubilalis (European corn borer)
Lineage: Eukaryota; Metazoa; Arthropoda; Insecta; Lepidoptera; Crambidae
Exons: 2
Source: RefSeq, a predicted model, not a curated record